Molecule: ribosomal RNA, 400 nt
Filed under: Ruminiclostridium sp.
Lineage: Bacteria; Bacillati; Bacillota; Clostridia; Eubacteriales; Oscillospiraceae
Description: bacterial SSU rRNA
Rfam family: Bacterial small subunit ribosomal RNA
Source: RNAcentral
UUUAAUUUGAGGGUUUGAUCCUGGCUCAGGACGAACGCUGGCGGCGUGCUUAACACAUGCAAGUUGAACGGGAUUCACCAGUGUAACAGCGAAUUAGAGUGAUGAGAGUAGCGGACGGGCGAGUAACGCGUGAGUAACCUGCCCUUUGCAGGGGGAUAACAUCGGGAAACCGGUGCUAAUACCGCAUAAGACCACAGUGUCGCAUGGCACGGCGGUCAAAGCUGAGGCGGCAAAGGAUGGACUCGCGUCCAAUUAGCUGGUUGGUAGGGUAACGGCCUACCAAGGCGACGAUUGGUAUCCGAACUGAGAGGUUGAUCGGACGCAUUGGGACUGAGACACGGCCCAGACUCCUACGGGAGGCAGCAGUGGGGAAUAUUGCGCAAUGGGGGCAACCCUGACG